This 497-nucleotide ribosomal RNA is filed under the name uncultured bacterium. Its description in RNAcentral is "partial 16S ribosomal RNA". It matches the Rfam family "Bacterial small subunit ribosomal RNA", at positions 28 to 507 of the family's 1533-position model. The record is from RNAcentral.
GAUGAACGCUGGCGGCGUGCCUAAUACAUGCAAGUCGAGCGAACAGACGAGGAGCUUGCUCCUCUGAAGUUAGCGGCGGACGGGUGAGGAACACGAGGAUAACCGACCUAUAAGACUGGGAUAACGUCGGGAAACCGGAGCUAAUACCGGACAAUAGAUUGAACCGCAUGGUUCAAUAGUGAAAGCCGGUUUUGCUGUCACUUAUAGAUGGAUCCACGCCGCAUUAGCUAGUUGGUACGGUAACGGCCUACCAAGGCAACGAUGCGUAGCCGACCUGAGAGGGUGAUCAGCCACACUGGAACUGAGACACGGUCCAGACUCCUACGGGAGGCAGCAGUAGGGAAUCUUGCGCAAUGGGCGAAAGCCUGACGGAGCAACGCCGCGUGAGUGAUGAAGGUCUUCGGAUCGUAAAGCUCUGUUAGUAGGGAAGAACAAAUGUGUAAGUAACUAUGCACGUCUUGACGGUACCUAAUCAGAAAGCCACGGCUAACUACGUG